Non-coding RNA from Nerophis lumbriciformis (worm pipefish), 84 nucleotides. NCBI's taxonomy places the organism in Eukaryota, Metazoa, Chordata, Actinopteri, Syngnathiformes, Syngnathidae. The record is from the annotation of a RefSeq genome assembly.
GUCAGGAUGGCUGAGUGGUCGAAGGUGCCAGACUCAAGUUCUUGUCUCCAAAUGGAGGCGUAGGUUCAAAUCCCACUCCUGACA